ACACUUUCAACUCAAAACUUAGAGUAACGAUGCUCUAUAUUGAAUGCCUUCGGUAUUGUACCGUGGCAAUGAUCUAGCAUGGCAAAGACAUCAAUGGAAACAUCAUGCUAGCUAUCUUACGAUCCUGCAAUGGCAAUGUAGACGUGGUGGCACAUGUCAUGGUGGUAGUUGCAUGGCAAUAUAUCUCGGAAUGACUUUGAAAAAGCCAUAGUAGGUAGGUAUAGUGGCUGUUUUGAG
RNAcentral lists this long non-coding RNA (237 nucleotides) under Hordeum vulgare. RNAcentral's name for it is "long non-coding RNA (HVUL_LNC018763)". The record is from RNAcentral. Lineage: Eukaryota; Viridiplantae; Streptophyta; Magnoliopsida; Poales; Poaceae.